UUGUUUACCUCUAUUAAUUGCAAAAAAUUAUCACGAAGAUAUAAUCUGUUCGUGAUCUGAAUUGAUACUAAUUGUUUCCAACAGCGAUCUAAUUCAGAGUGAGAAUUGACUCUAUCUAUAUCUUCUUGUUUUCACGCGAGAAAAGUUUCGACAUUUAUUUAUGUAUCUGUACCGCGAUUUAAACAUUGAAACUGUACCGGGAACGUAACUUGAGCUUCAUAAAUAGACAGUGCACGGUUCAGAAACGAAACUACAAGGUUCGAGAAACGGCAUUAAUUAUUUAAGCUUAUCUUCCUUCCAUGGAUCAAGUUCAAGGUAUAGUUCGAGGAUCGAAAUUAUGACGACGUUGGGAUAUUUUGGGAUGAUUUGGAUUGUUUGAAUUCAAUUUUUCCGGUUAGAAGGAUUGGCCGCCGCUGUUCAAACACAAAAGCCCCCGCAAUCGCCAAGGAAAAACGAAUACGAGCCGAAGGCAGCACGCCAAUAUUGGCUUUUGAUAUUUAGAGAGAUACGACAACCGUGGACAUCUCCAGCCAGGAAUUUAUUACCGUGGAACACGGUGGUGUAUCUGUUGCGACCAACUCUUGGUCUCAAAGGUCUCAGGAACAAUUGAUUAAUUUGAUUACCCGUGGAGUGGCCACUUGUACAUUUCAAACCGAAUUGAUAUCAUCGAUAUUUAAAUCAGUUGCCGAGUCCAUUCUCCGUUUACGUGUAUAUAUAUAUAUAAGAAAAGGUUUUACAAUUAGAAUAAAAGGGACUCUAAAAUCCAUCAAUUGAGGAUUAUAAAAUGUAAAUACGAUUAUCACACACAUAUACACAGAGCAUAUGCGAAUUAACCAGGCAAUCUACUUUACUCGGCUAAUCUAUCAUACUUUUUACCCUCAUUAUCACCUCUCAAUCAACUAUGAAAGCCAUUUUAACGUACCAUUACCAAGAGAGCCUCAAGUACAAGAUUAUAGAAAGCGUUAGCUCGUUAAAAUAAACAAAAGUUUAAAAGCAGAUAUAUCAUCCCAUGAAAACGAGCCAAGAAACAAUCCAAGAACCAUCUUCCACCAGUCAUUGGACAACCGAGGAAUGGAAGAGAUCCCGCGCAAGGUGCACAUACAGCAGGUGGCUAUACCAUCUUGGAAAGGGUGAGAGUUCACUGUUCAGUCUUGCGCCGAGCCAUUGUAAGAGCAACGAACCGGCCAACCGGGGGCAAAGACGGCAGGCGCCUACUCGCUGCCACGAUCUCACCAAUCAUUUGCGCAUUCAACCAGCUACACCACCAACCCCAGUGGUUCUCCUUCCUCAUCACCGACCUAAUUCGACCACCGGCGGAUCCACCCCGAUAUUAUUAUUUCGAGGCUGUCGCUCGAACGCUUCGGGGAACGUAUUCGCAAGCUUUUUCUCUCGUCAGACGUUUCUUUCUUUCCGAGAUGAAUUUAAGAAUCGAAUUACGCCUUUGGAUAUGCUUUCGUUCCAAAUUCGUUGUCGAUCGAUUGCUCGCGUGUACGAAAAGAUGUUUUAUUUGUUGGGGAUUGGAUAUAGAAGGUAAGAUGUUGAUCACAUUUUUUUUAUUACAAUACGAUAGAAGAAAAUCGGAUAAAGAAAAUUUGAUGAAAAUAAUCCGAUGCAAAAUGAGAAGAAAGAAAAUGGAAAAAGUGUAUAAAGUAUAAAUUAAUAAAAUUCUAUGAAUAUAUGGAAGAAUGGAUAUUAAAAUAAAUAAAUGUUAACCCGAAAAAUUUGUACAUCGAAAUCUCUGCACCUUUUCUGUGCCGCUCCACCCUUCAAAAAAUACGAUACCUAUUUCAUCCUCGACGCGAGAAAAUCCUUUCGCGGAUCCUCCAUCACACCAUUUCAAGAUUCUAUAACGAUAAUUUUGAAAAGGGUCGAAUAACCGGGAGAAGUUUCGCGAUUACUGCCUGAAUUCUCGGAAAAUUGCUACGUUCUCCCUCUAGCGGGUAUCUCGGUGCUUGGUUAACCGCUUUCAGAAAAAUAAGCGAUACGAGGGGUUGAACUGCGCUAAACGCGGUGGAAAAAACUUCAAGUGGUGCGAAAUAUAAAACGUUAAACACGCAAAGGAUAAGAAAGAGAGGGCGGGGGAGGAGGGGGAACUAUGCAUUCCGCUAGCAUAAUGAUCUCACCAUUUCUCGCAUCCGUUCGCGCCUAUAACGCGUGAAACCCGCGUGAAACAGUAACGAUCCGUCACAGUAAAUUCUCUGUAAACACACCUGACGUCGAGGUUUACACUCGAGUCGCGAUAAAUUUCUUAAUUCUUUCAGAGGGUGACCAUGCCUCCCAAGCGGAGAGACGUGCUUCCUUUCCUUUCUUCUCUUUUCUUUUUUUUUCUUCCUUUUUUUUCUUCUACCUCUUUACUUCCCCCCCCCCCAGUUUCAAUUCUUCGCGGUGACGCAACAAUGCAUACAAGUGGAGUAAAUCCAUGCCGGUUUUCACACGGUUUGUGCAUAGCGGGCAAAUGUAAAUGAAAGUGGGGCAAGAAGACGAAUUGCAAUCUUUUCAUAUAUGCGGGGCCCGGAUAACCGGGGCUAGGAUUUGUCAAAAUAACACCGAUAAAAAGUCGGCCACAAGUGGAAUUUUAACGUGUUCAUGUUGGCGGAAUCACGAGACAAGGGUUAUUAACGUCGCUUUGCCUCUUCCGCGGUUGAUUUAUGGAGAUUCCGAUACCGAUUGGCUUUCCCUGUGUUUUAACUUUCGACUCUUAAGGCCGUGCUUGAAACCAGGUCACUAGAUUUUUCGCGAAUUUUUUCGAAAUAUUUAAUAACUCUUUAUAAAUUCUUUUCAGCAUUGAAACGAUAUCCGUAUUAAUCGAUGGGAAGAGAAGGAAUAAUUCAUAAAAAUUAUCGUUUCGUUGUAAAGAAUAGAAAAGAAUAGAGAUUUUAAAUAUUGAUUGUGUCAAAUUUAUUUGGAUAAAACGUUACAUAAAAAUUAAUUCCAAAAAGAAUUAGAAAUAUCAUCUUGAAAUACAAAUUCUACUUAAAUGGUUGAGAUUUUAAUAUAAAACUUCAAUAUAAAAAUUAAAUACAAAAUUAAUAAUUAACUGGCCUCGUUAACGUAAUACACUCCGUUCGAAACUGCCACACUCGAAAAUUUUGUCGAUACAAGAUACUCGACCGAGAUAAUAAUCCUCCCCUAAAAAUAAGACCGACCACAACUUUCCACAGUGCUUUGUUCUCGACUCAUACGUCAAUUACCAAAAAAUUUAUUAGAAUCCAUAGCCGAGCAUUUACCUCCAAGCGGCGAAAACUGGGCGAAUUCCGGCAAAUCGAAAGUUUUUAACGCGUUCGAGCUAUUCACCUCUCGAUUCCGCGCGAAUGAAAUUGUCGAGAAUUCGAAACUUCAUUUUCCCUGUCGCCACGGUAGAGGCUUUAUUUUAAUAAUUGAACGAACCGCCUCCCUCCUCCACCGUUAUCCACGAUUCCUUCCAGCUCUCCCCGUCAUCGUCGAACAAGCCGGUUCGAAAGAUCGAUUCAAAUCGAUUCAGAUCGAAUACGAGUCGUCACGAAUGUGAAUAAUAGCGAUAAAGUCGAAUGGAGAUAAAUUCUCGGUAGCAAGGUGGAACGAUACUCGAAAGGUCGAGGUUCAUUACGGAAGUUCAAAUAUUAAAAAGUUCGCUCGAUCGACACCGCGAUUCCUCUAUUCAAAGAGGAGGGGAGGAGGGGGGGCUCUUUGUGGAUUUAUUUAACAAAUUCAUCGGACUGCAACCCCUUGGGACUCGAACGAAUGGAUUAUGAUGUAUUAUAUUCGAAUCACCGCGAAAGCUUUGGAAAGAGGACGUCCGAGUGUUUGCCGAUAAACUUAGCCGGCAUAAUGUACGAAGGAAGAAAAGGGAAAAGGUUAAAAGCUUGGAUGGAAAGUUUGGAGUAAGAUUGUGAAUUGUUUGGAAAGAUUUGAAUUUGAAAGUAGCGGAAUUAUCGUCCUUUCUUUUUCCGAUGAAUUUUUUGAAAUCUUAUUAAUUUUAUCGUUAAUUUGUUUUAAUUAAUAAUUUGUACGAGGAAAGGAAGAGGAAAAGGAUUUGGUUAAAAACUUGUAAAAAGUUCGAAGUAAGAUUGUAAUCGUUUCUUCGAGUAAAUUGGUUUCUAUUCCAGAAAUUUUAUAGCACGUUUGGUUAUAUCGAAUAAAUUGAAUAUCGUAAGGAUUCGUUACGUCAUAAUAAUAAAUGUCAGAUGCACAGGAUAAAUAAUUCGAUAUUGAAUUAAUUAAAUUGUAAGAGAAUGAUGACACGACUCGUGUGAACUGUUGCAUAAAUAUAUGAAACAAUAUUAAUCUCAAGGCAUAAAAAAAUCUAAUUGAAGAUUACAUGGAAUAUAAAUCAUUACUGCUUGCUACUAGAAAUUAAUUAACUAUAAUUUCCCUAGAUGAUUCAAAUUAAUUAUUGCACCAUGCAUACGCAGUCGACAUGUAAUACAAUCAUUAUCAAGUCACAAAUCAAAAACAGUUUUUUAAUUCGUGCAUUAGAAUUGCUACUACGAAUUUAUUCUUUCAAUUUAUCGUGAAACAAAAUAUUUCUCGCUAAGAAAAAUCUUUUGGGAAAAGAUUAAUUCAUUAUUUAUUCAUUUCUUACUUGAUAAUCAUAAAACAGAAGAUUUCCUACUGGACAGAUAUUUUCCAUUCAGAUCUUAGAAGAAGGUUUAUUUCAUUCGUUUAUUUAUACAAUUCUUACUCUGAUACGAAAACAGAAGAUGGAAUAAAUGGAACGUUUUAUCUCGAAUUUGCACGAAAAAAAAAAAACAAAAAAAGAAAAUUCACAAAACCACAUAUAUACAUGAGCAAUAGUCCCGCAUAUCACUUUGAAAUAUGCAUUGGGACUGUAAUCACUCAUCAAUGUUUUUGUUAUACAUUUUUUUUUAAACAAAUAACCCGAUGUCACGUUCCUCGAUACUUUGCAAAUAAAGUGGAUAUUUCGAGCAUGGCCACUCGUGACCGGACAAUCGCAAUUUUCGGUCGGAAGGUUCGAUUUCAUUUUAAAUGAAUUAUAUUUUAAAAUUCGAUGGUGUAUAGGUGUACACGUAUAUAUAAAUUACAUGCAACUCCCACGGCAAACUUCCACGCAAACGUAAUCUGUCCCCCUCGUAAUUUUCGAUAGAGGCAGAGAAAUUUAUUGCCACGCUGUGUAUCCCAGACAUUCCGCUCUUCGUGAUCAUUUCGCACAAAUUGAAACGGUCAAUCGAACCGUUUCCCUUUCGAUUCCUCUGUCAUUUAUUCGUCUAUCGAUCUAUUCCAGAAACGAGCACGAUAUACGAUUAAUAAUCGAUCGAUGAUUUGCGGUUUCUUUUAAUGAAUUUUGCCCUUUCAGCUAAUUGAAUAGUUUUUUCUACUGGAUGUAAAA
Long non-coding RNA from Apis cerana (Asiatic honeybee), 5326 nucleotides. RefSeq lists it as uncharacterized. NCBI's taxonomy places the organism in Eukaryota, Metazoa, Arthropoda, Insecta, Hymenoptera, Apidae. The record is from RefSeq and is a predicted model, not a curated record.